UAUUAAAAAUUUCAUCCAUUUCUACUAUUAAAAAUUGGCGUAAUUGACAAAAUAACCAAAUAGGUUCACGUGGCGUGCCACAUGUAUCUCAUUCUAACGUACAGGGACUAGUUUAUAACAGAAGUAAUGGAUGAAAUUUUUAACA
Gossypium hirsutum (cotton) is the source of this 145-nucleotide non-coding RNA. NCBI's taxonomy places the organism in Eukaryota, Viridiplantae, Streptophyta, Magnoliopsida, Malvales, Malvaceae. The record is from Rfam.